Molecule: long non-coding RNA, 276 nt
Filed under: Brassica rapa (field mustard)
Lineage: Eukaryota; Viridiplantae; Streptophyta; Magnoliopsida; Brassicales; Brassicaceae
Description: long non-coding RNA (BRAP_LNC007949)
Source: RNAcentral
CGAGAGCAACAUGAACGAUCUGGUCUCAGAGUAUCAGCAAUACCAAGACGCAACCGCAGAUGAAGAAGGAGAGUAUGAAGAAGAGGAGGAGGAAGAAGUGGAGUAUCAAGACUGAAAAUGCAGCUGAGACUAGCGUUUUUUUUAAAUAAAAUCACCAUAUCAUGUUCUUUUAUCCCUGCCCUUAGUUGUUGUUGAGUUUGUUUAUGUACUUGUUGUUGUGAUUGUCUUGUGUGUAAAAGUGAGGUUGGAGCUCGAUAUUGUUUAUUUUGUUGUGGU